UGCCCGAAUUUGAAGUAGGGUAGAUUGGUAAGAUCAGCUCACCAUGCUAAUCUACUCUACUUCAAGUUUGCGCCC
Non-coding RNA from Haemonchus contortus (barber pole worm), 75 nucleotides. NCBI's taxonomy places the organism in Eukaryota, Metazoa, Nematoda, Chromadorea, Rhabditida, Trichostrongylidae. The record is from Rfam.